AGAACGAACGCUGGCGGCAGGCCUAAUACAUGCAAGUCGAGCGCGCCCUUCGGGGUGAGCGGCGGACGGGUGAGUAACGCGUGGGAAUAUGCCCUUCUCUAAGGAAUAGCCUCGGGAAACUGAGAGUAAUACCUUAUACGCCCUUCGGGGGAAAGAUUUAUCGGAGAAGGAUUAGCCCGCGUUAGAUUAGGUAGUUGGUGGGGUAAUGGCCUACCAAGCCUACGAUCUAUAGCUGGUUUGAGAGGAUGAUCAGCCACACUGGGACUGAGACAUGGCCCAGACUCCUACGGGAGGCAGCAGUAGGGAAUCUUAGACAAUGGGGGAAACCCUGAUCUAGCCAUGCCGCGUGUGUGAUGAAGGCCUUAGGGUCGUAAAGCACUUUCGCCAGAGAUGAUAAUGACAGUAUCUGGUAAAGAAACCCCGGCUAACUCCGUGCCAGCANCCNCNNUAAUACGGAGGGGGNUAGCGUUGUUCGGAAUUACUGGGCGUAAAGCGUACGUAGGCGGAUUAGUAAGUUAGAGGUGAAAUCCCAGGGCUCAACCCUGGAACUGCCUUUAAUACUGCUAGUCUUGAGUUCGAGAGAGGUAAGUGGAAUUCCGAGUGUAGAGGUGAAAUUCGUAGAUAUUCGGAGGAACACCAGUGGCGAAGGCGGCUUACUGGCUCGAUACUGACGCUGAGGUACGAAAGUGUGGGGAGCAAACAGGAUUAGAUACCCUGGUAGUCCACACCGUAAACGAUGAAUGCCAGACGUCAGCAAGUAUACUUGUUGGUGUCACACCUAACGGAUUAAGCAUUCCGCCUGGGGAGUACGGUCGCAAGAUUAAAACUCAAAGGAAUUGACGGGGGCCCGCACAAGCGGUGGAGCAUGUGGUUUAAUUCGACGCAACGCGCAGAACCUUACCAACCCUUGACAUCCUGUGCUACUACCAGAGAUGGUACGUUCCCNUUCGGGGACGCAGUGACAGGUGCUGCAUGGCUGUCGUCAGCUCGUGUCGUGAGAUGUUCGGUUAAGUCCGGCAACGAGCGCAANCCCACAUCUUUAGUUGCCAUCAGGUUAUGCUGGGCACUCUAGAGAAACUGCCCGUGAUAAGCGGGAGGAAGGUGUGGAUGACGUCAAGUCCUCAUGGCCCUUACGGGUUGGGCUACACACGUGCUACAAUGGCAGUGACAAUGGGUUAAUCCCCAAAAGCUGUCUCAGUUCGGAUUGGGGUCUGCAACUCGACCCCAUGAAGUCGGAAUCGCUAGUAAUCGCGUAACAGCAUGACGCGGUGAAUACGUUCCCGGGCCUUGUACUCACCGCCCGUC
RNAcentral lists this ribosomal RNA (1305 nucleotides) under uncultured marine bacterium. RNAcentral describes it as "bacterial SSU rRNA". It matches the Rfam family "Bacterial small subunit ribosomal RNA", at positions 26 to 1398 of the family's 1533-position model. The record is from RNAcentral.